Mirounga angustirostris (Northern elephant seal) is the source of this 1186-nucleotide RNA transcript. It is a transcript of the gene named ubiquitin-like modifier-activating enzyme 1, with no coding region annotated. The record is from RefSeq and is a predicted model, not a curated record. NCBI's taxonomy places the organism in Eukaryota, Metazoa, Chordata, Mammalia, Carnivora, Phocidae. The transcript is spliced from 8 exons.
AUGGGAACCAAGGCCUCGCGGUCCUCACCUUCCUCUCCCGCUCGGCGAAUAACCCUGCAAACGGAGCGAGGCGACAGCCCCCGCUGUUCCCGAGCGCAAGCCGCUGCGCGCGUCUUCCCGGCCGCCUGUCCCGCUCGCCUGCCGGCCCCUCGGCGUGGCCGAGCCCCGGGGAACGCAGACGCGGCAGCAGGGGACCAGCGGCAGAGGGCGCCGCAGGACCGCGAGGAGGCCCGGGAGCAAAAGUGGAGGGCCGAGCGCCUCUCGCUGAAAGAAGAGAGCCCACGCUCUGGACCCGAGGCCCGGUGUCCCGGGGGUGUCCGCGCCGGGCCGCCUCCCCGCCGCCAGCGGAGCCGGGAGCAAGCCUUCUCGGGCUCCGCGCCCUCCUUUUCCCGCGUUCCGGGCUGCCGGAAAGCCGCAGAGCACAAUGUGGGGACCCCGCCCGAGCCCCAGGGCAGGGGGGCGGCCGCGGAGGGCAGCUUGUGUACCAACUUUCAUAUGGAUUUCACUGUGGCUGCAUCCAACCUCCGAGCAGAAAACUGUAACAUUCCCCCUGCAGAUCGGCAUAAGAGCAAGCUGACUGCAGGGAAGAUCAUCCCUGCCAUUGCCACAACCACAGCAGCUAUAGUUGGCCCCGUGAGUCUGGAGCUAUACAAAGUGGUGCAGGGACACCGGCAGCUUGAAUCUUACAAGAACAACUUCACGAACGUGGCCCUGCCCUUCCUCAGCUUCUCUGAACCCCUUGCCCCACCCCGUCACCAGCACUAUAACCAAGAGCGGACGUUGUGGGAUCGCUUUGAUGUACACGGCCACAGCCUAAUGGUGAGGAGAUGACUCUCAAACAGUUGCUUAACUACUUUAAGACAGAGCACAAAUUAGAGAUUACCAUGCUGUCCCGAGGUGUAGCCAUGCUGUGCUCCUUUUUCAUGCCAGCUCCCAAACUCAGGGAACAGCUGGAUCAGCCGGUGACAGAAACGGUGAGCCAUGUGUCAAAGCGAAAGCUGGGCCACCAUGUGCUUGAGCUGUACUGCAGUGAUGAGGUGGCGAGGAUGCUGAGGUCCCCUGUGUACGAUGCACCAUCCGCUGACUCCCCAGUCCCCAAACUGUUUAGUUUCAGAUCCCUUCUAGUUGUGGCAAAACAUGUGCCUAGCCAGGCACAUAAGCUUUACGUCCUUUUGAGAACCUUUUU